CGGCCCAGACUCCUACGGGAGGCAGCAGUGGGGAAUAUUGCAAUGGGCGAAAGCCUGAUGCAGCAACGCCGCGUGAGGGAUGACGGCCUUCGGGUUGUACCUCUUUUAGCAAGGAAGAAGCGAAAGUGACGGUACUUGCAGAAAAAGCGCCGGCUAAACGUGCCAGCAGCCGCGGUAAUACGUAGGGCGCAAGCGUUAUCCGGAAUUAUUGGGCGAAGAGCUCGUAGGCGGUCUGUCGCGUCUGCUGUGAAAACCCGAGGCUCAACCUCGGGCGCAGUGGGUACGGGCAGACUAGAGUGCGGUAGGGGAGAUUGGAAUUCCUGGUGUAGCGGGAAUGCGCAGAUAUCAGGAGGAACACCGAUGGCGAAGGCAGAUCUUUGGGCCGUAACACGCUGAGGAGCGAAAGGGUGGGGAGCAAACAGGCUUAGAUACCCUGGUAGUCCACCCUAAACGUUGGGAACUAGUUGUGGGGUCCAUUCCACGGAUUCCGUGACGCAGCUAACGC
This 505-nucleotide ribosomal RNA is filed under the name uncultured bacterium. RNAcentral describes it as "bacterial SSU rRNA". It matches the Rfam family "Bacterial small subunit ribosomal RNA", at positions 327 to 858 of the family's 1533-position model. The record is from RNAcentral.